GCCUGGGUGGUUCAGUCGGUUAAGCAUCUGACUUUGGCUCAGGUCAUGAUCUCAUGGUUUGUGAGUUCAAGCCUCAUGUCGGGCA
This 85-nucleotide transfer RNA is filed under the name Felis catus (domestic cat). It matches the Rfam family "tRNA". Rfam says of the family: Transfer RNA (tRNA) molecules are approximately 80 nucleotides in length. Their secondary structure includes four short double-helical elements and three loops (D, anti-codon, and T loops). Lineage: Eukaryota; Metazoa; Chordata; Mammalia; Carnivora; Felidae. The record is from Rfam by way of RNAcentral. RNAcentral also lists the same sequence under 2 other names.